UAACUUUCAACAACGGAUCUCUUGGCUCUUGCAUCGAUGAAGAACGCAGCGAAAUGCGAUAAGUAAUGUGAAUUGCAGAAUUCCGUGAAUCAUCAAAUCUUUGAACGCAAAUUGCACUCUUUGGUAUUCCGAAGAGUAUGCUUGCUUGAGGGUUGUU
RNAcentral lists this ribosomal RNA (157 nucleotides) under Acaulospora mellea. RNAcentral's name for it is "5.8S ribosomal RNA". It matches the Rfam family "5.8S ribosomal RNA". Rfam says of the family: 5.8S ribosomal RNA (5.8S rRNA) is a component of the large subunit of the eukaryotic ribosome. It is transcribed by RNA polymerase I as part of the 45S precursor that also contains 18S and 28S rRNA. Lineage: Eukaryota; Fungi; Glomeromycota; Glomeromycetes; Diversisporales; Acaulosporaceae. The record is from RNAcentral.